This 3994-nucleotide long non-coding RNA is filed under the name Homo sapiens (human). Its description in RNAcentral is "HSALNT0311042". The record is from RNAcentral. Lineage: Eukaryota; Metazoa; Chordata; Mammalia; Primates; Hominidae.
AAGAUACAACAGGACAGGCUUUGAGGACAGAAACCCAGGGUCACGUUCCUGCUCCAUCACUUUCCAUCAGCAUGGUCUCGGGCAAGGGAAUCGUAAGCAGGUAACUGAUCAUCUGGAAACCUGGGGGACAAGAGGGAAGAAAUGACACCUAGGAUGCUCCAUCCUUUCCCUGCAUCCCUUUGUGUUCAGUUCAACAACUUGGUUCUCCUCCUGACCAGCCACUGUGCUUGGCUGAGGACACAAAGGUGAAGGAGACAGUCUAGUAUAAAACAUGACACAGACCAGACCCAAAGGGGAGGAAGAGGUCCUGUAGAAAGGUGAAGGGGCAUCAUUCACCAAGCCUCUCCAGCAUUAACCAGAGACUGCUGGAGGGCAGCGUGAGCCUACGGAAAAGACUCGACAUCCAGGGUUUGGACUUAAAGGCCCUAGUGUGGACUUCUUCAGUGCUCUGAUUCCUUGAAGAUUCUGUUGGCUUGUUCUCAAAACGUAAGCAACUUUCCAGUGCCAACAUAUUGAAUUCCUUGCCCACGGGGCAUUUCUCAUCAUCAUGGGUUGCAAUGUGUGCUGUUGUCUGUUGCUGCAUAAUAAACCAGUAAGUCUGCUUAAGUGGCAUGAAGCAACUAUUUUGUUAUGCACACGAUUCUAUGGAUCAGGAAUUUGGACAGCCCAGCAAGGAUGGCUUGUCUUUGUUCUGUGACGUUGGGGCUUCUGCUGGGUACCAGAACCAUCUGGCAAUUCCUUCACUCACUUGCCUGCUAUUUGGGCCAGGAUGACUUGAAGUUUAAGGCCACUUAGGACAGUCAACAGAGCAUCUACAAGUGGUCUUUCCAUGUGACUCAGGCUUCUUAUAACACAGUAGCUGGGUUCUGAUGGCAUGUUCCAGAAGGGAGCUUCCAGAGAGUGAACAUUGCAACAGAAGCAGGUGGAAGCUGCAUGGCCAUUUAAGGCCUAGAUGCAGAAGUCACAUAGCAUCAGUCCACUGUACUCUACUGGUCAAAGUAGUCAUAACCCAGAUUCAAGGGGAGGAAACACAGAUCCCCAUCCUUGGAUGGGAGAAAUGACAAAGAAUGUGUGGCCAUUUUUAAGAAAUCAUCACAUGUGCACCCAGUGCUAUGUUGUAGCACACUCCAAUUUGUGUAUUUCCAUCCAUUUCACUAAAGGUCUGAAAGCCCAGCAAGCAUGAAUUGAGGUCCAAGGCCCCACUGGUAAGGAGCAGGAGGCCAUUGGCUAAGUGGUUCAUUUAGCCUGUGUUUAGUGAAUUGGAUCCCUUUGUCUCUUUUUGCAAAUUGCCAGGCCCCGGUGGUCUCACCAGAUAUUAACUGAGGGGAAUUAACUGGACACAGGCAGGAAAUCCACUGUGUGAACCCCCCACCAGUCAGAGUUUAUGGAGGUAUGAGAUGAUGGGCACUGCACACAAAGCUCAAUGUGGUUUCUGUUUCUUUGGGUGAAAUCUUUUGAUACGAUUUCUGAUCAAGAGGUGCAGUCUGUCCAAUUUACUUCAACUUUCUUUAAUUUUUACUAAGCAAUACGAUUAUUAUUAUUAUUAUUAUUUUUAGACAGAGUCUCACUCUGUCGCCCAGGCUGGAGUGCAGUGGCGUGAUCUCUGCUCACUGCAAGCUCCACCUCCCGGGUUCACGCCAUUCUCCUGCCUCAGCCUCCCGAGUAGCUGGGACUACAGGCACCCGCCACCACGCCCAGCUAAUUUUUUGUAUUUUUUAGUAGAGACGGGGUUUCACCGUGUUAGCCAGGAUGGUCUCGAUCUCCUGACCUCGUGAUCUGCCCGCCUCGGCCUUCCAAAGUGCUGGGAUUACAGGCGUGAGCCACCGCGCCCGACUGCAAUAGGAUCUUUUUACCAGAGUGCUUUGGCUGUCGUGGACCACCUGACCUCUUUUCUGGGGACUUUGAAAUCAGGAAGUGUCCCAAGAAGUGCCCAGUGAGGAGUCCCCAAGGUUUCAGGGUGUAUCCCUUCUAGUGUGAUGGAUAAGCCCCUCAGCAUUUAACUAUUUUAGUAGGUGGGUUUGUUUUGUUUUGUUUUUUUCAUUUACCCAAUAGACAUUCAUUCAAUACUUACUCUAAACCCCAUGCCACUGUGUAGGACACAUUUCUUGCCCCUCAGGGAGCGCACAGAUCUAUUAAUGAACCAUGUAGCUUGUGAGGGGUAGACAAUGACAGCGAUGAGAUCAGAGUGCUGUGAGCAUGCUGAAUCCAGUCUUAGACUUGAUGUGGAGCAGAGACUGGUCAGGGCAGGCUUCCUGGAGUUGAGCCAGGUGAAGAAUAAGAGAAGAAGGAGAAAAGAUAGGCAUGAGUAGAGCAGAAAGUGCUUCUCAGAGGGAGGCAGCAUCUGCAGAGAUCCAGGGUCUGGAGAGACAAUGGAGAAUUCCAGAAAUUGGUGGCAUGUACCUCAAUCUGACUGGGGUUGGAAUGAACAGAGAUGAGGCAGGAGAGAUGCAGGGAUCAGAGCUAUCUCCAACCAGAUGGUAGUAUCCUGAAAAAUUGGUUAUUUUCACAUAUCUUUUGUCCUCUGAAGUUUCUAGGUUCAUGUCUUCAACUUUGAUGGUGCUUAAUAAGAAUAAUAACAUUCAUAAAGUGGUUUUAAUGUGUUAUUUUUGCAUACAGUAUUUCAUUCAGUCUUUAUAAGAACCUUUUGAAGAAAUAGGGCGGGUGGCAUGCAGCUCAGUUUACAGUUUAGGAAAAUCAAGAGGUAGGAAGAAUUGUGAUUUACACAAAAUCAGGGGCCUGAAACUCACACCCAAGUCUCUUGCCUCCAAAUCCCACACUCUUCUUACUAUGCAGAUUGCCUUGAUUGAGCUGCAAGGAGAAAGUUUUGUAUUGUAUUUGAGAAAACUCACAACACAGAAGAACAAUAUUUCAGCCUUGUCUGACAUGACAGAUCAGGUCUGAGCUGUGGCCCCAGGUUUUGGUGAUUGACCCAUGAGUCUUGUGUGUGUCUCUGGUGAGCAGAAUGCCCGGUAUAUGUGGGUCCCCAGUGGAUACAGGUCAGGGAGCAAGCAAUCCUCCACACUGGAAGAUGACUUAUUCACAAGGCUGGGCAUCCCUCUCAGACAAAACCCACUAUCAUAUCUCUUCUGGUUUAAUUCAUGUUUUGACACUCAGCAAAUUCCCCAGGAACUUAGCUGAAGAGUUUCGUGAGCCGGAAGUGCCUCUGAAAGAAGUGAGCAGAGAGAAGGGUCUCAAGAUGGCCAGGUUUUGGACUUACACCAUAGGCUCUACUGGUCCUUAGGCCUUUGGACUGAGGCUGGAACCACAUCCUCAGCUCUCCUGGAUCUCCAGCUUGGCAACUGCAGACCUUGGGACAUUUCAGAUUCCAUAAUCAUGACGAAGGCGAUGGCAGCAGUUUUCCAGGCUAGCUGUCUUCACAACCCGAUGGCUCUCUUCUUUUCUGCUGCCACAGAGACUGACUGUCUGCCUCCUGCAAAUUUGAAAUUUGGCAAACCUGCCUCCUCUGCUUCUCAGAACCAAACUGGGGCCAGGAGAACUUCUGACCCAAGUGUUGAUCACCUCUCUUCCUGCACCUCACUGUGCACCCUCUGCUCAGGAAAUGCCUUUGGCGUGUUGCUGACGUCUGUCCCUGCUCCAUCUCUUACCACCCUGCACUUCACCCUUUCCCACACAGGUUUCACCUGAUCUCAGCUGCUUUGGGCAGACCAUCCAGGUAUUUUGGAGUCUGAAAAGGAUCUCUGUCUCUAAGUCUGGUGCAAAUGGAGUUUGGGGGUUUUAAAAUUCAUUCUUCUUGCUGCUGUUUCACAAUUUCUCAGAAAAGGUGAAAAUGCAGACUUUGGCAGUUAUGUUCAAUAUGAAAAGUCUUAAUAAAGUAAUUUUUGACCUAAAGCCCACCAGUAUUUCUGGAACAAUUCAGUCAAUCUUUGAACUUGGUCACAUAAAGUCUUAUUAGAAACACAACGGGGAUUUUGGAGACAGGACUAGUGAACUUUGUGUAGUUAAAUAGAAACUUGAAUUGCCAGUGUAGAGUACU